UGGGGAACAUUGCACAAUGGGCGGAAGCCUGAUGCAGCGACGCCGCGUGAGGGAUGACGGCCUUCGGGUUGUAAACCUCUUUCAUUAGGGACGAAGCGUAAGUGACGGUACCUGCAGAAGAAGCACCGGCUAACUACGUGCCAGCAGCCGCGGUAAUACGUAGGGUGCGAGCGUUGUCCGGAAUUACUGGGCGUAAAGAGCUCGUAGGCGGUUUGUCACGUCGUCUGUGAAAUCCUAGGGCUUAACCCUGGACGUGCAGGCGAUACGGGCUGACUUGAGUACUACAGGGGAGACUGGAAUUUCUGGUGUGGCGGUGGAAUGCACGGAUGUCAGGAAGAACACCGAUGGCGAAGGCAGGUCUCUGGGUAGUAACUGACGCUGAGGAGCGAAAGCAUGGGUAGCGAACAGG
Molecule: ribosomal RNA, 409 nt
Filed under: Verrucomicrobiota bacterium
Lineage: Bacteria; Pseudomonadati; Verrucomicrobiota
Description: Verrucomicrobia bacterium partial 16S ribosomal RNA
Rfam family: Bacterial small subunit ribosomal RNA
Source: RNAcentral